Long non-coding RNA from Mus musculus (house mouse), 4141 nucleotides. RefSeq annotates it as predicted gene, 34283. The record is from RefSeq and is marked validated. The transcript is spliced from 3 exons. Lineage: Eukaryota; Metazoa; Chordata; Mammalia; Rodentia; Muridae.
AGCAGUACCUGUGUGGCCAGCACAGCAGCAGUCCAGGAGACAAGCUGCACCAGAGAGCCGGAAGCUAGAGCUCUCAACGCUGCCGGACAGGGAAGGAGAGAAGAACAGGAGAGAAGACGGAGCCCGUCUGAAACACAAGGGCACACUUGAUGUCUCACGACACUCUCUGACUCCUUGCUUCGAACAUAAAGCGCCUGCCAUUCUCCCGACUCCCUGCCCUCCUUGCGCUUCUCCAUGUUUACUGGCCUCUUCAGCUGGACUGAAAUUGCCACACAGGUGGCUGGCCUUGUUUUUCACACUGAAUGACCAUCUGUAGAGAGAAUGAAUGAGAGCCAGACAGCCUGUCAGCAGAGCGUAUGCCAAACCAAGCCACAAAAUAUGGCCAGCCAGUACUCAAUGGUAUAGCACUAGCCCUUGGUGGUCCCUAGGGAAGUCUACUUGCAAGGAAGCCUCUUCACACACAGACCUGGGCCAAAAGCCUACUGAGGAGCUUCUUGUGGUAACAAGAAGACAGUGGGCAAGCCCUGCCUGGGCACAAGAAAACUCUACCGAUGCCUUCUCCCUCCCUGCUGCCCCAAGCUACUUGAUCUUAGCCAGAGGAAUAGGAAAUUGAGUUAUACGUUUUCUUGCUGCUGAGAGGCCAGGAGCAUCAAUUCCCUGGCUCAAGAUAACCACAGGGCCAAGGUUAACCUUACCUGUGAGGACAGUAACUGUGGACGGCAGCCACAUGCUGGCUCCCAUCUCUGAACAGUUCCGAUGCACCCAAAUGCCAACUGAUCAUUGGCAAGGAAGGAGGAGUCUAACUCCCAGGAGAGGAUUCACAGGACUGCAGAUCAGAACCACUGCUGAAGAUUGACACUCAGGCCACGAUGCAGUAAGAAACAGAACAUGCCGUGCCAGGAUUCAAUGCACUAGAUCACACGGGUACCGUGAACAUGAGCCUCCUCCAACACUGUGAGACGCUCCCAACUGUUCAGCUCCACACAGUCCCACAACCAGUAACCCUGGAAGAUGUCACCUCUUCUAAAGUCUAUCAACUGGCCAGCAGAAUACCAGCAAGCAACACCCUGCCCACUAGGACCCAGGAAAGGAGCCACUGGGUGAGUUCCAGAGCUAGAGAUGCGGCUCACUUGGUAGAGCUAUUGUCUAACAUGCAUAAAACCAAAGGUUUCGGCCCUUAACACUACAUAAACCAGGCAUAGUGGUCUGAGCCUAUGCUAGCCACAAUCCUAACACUAAAGAGGUCAAGGCAGGAGGACCAGAAGUUCAAGGUCUUCAUCAACUAUGUAUAGUGUUUGGAGCCAGCCUGGACUACACGAGACCCUGCCUCAAAAAUUACUUAAGUCAGUAAGAACAACUAUAUCAAUCUUUCUUUUACACCUUAGUAUGAGAGACUGGUUUUAUUAGUGCCAAAGAUUGUCCCCGUUCCUCCUAAGGACCUUGUCACCUACAAUGCCAGGGCCCUCCCUGCUCAAAGAAAUCAACAAAAACAUUAGCGCUGCUUUAGAUGAGACCCAACAAGCUAAGGCCAACUUUAUAUUAGAUUUCACUAGUAAAUACUUAAUCCUCAGAAGCAUAACAGGGAAGUCUGUCUGUCUGUCUGUCUGUCUGUUUCUCUCUCUCUCUCACACACACACACACACACACACUCACACAUACGCACACUCACAUAUUAAUGUUGAAAGACUUAGCUUUGUCUGUGGGGAAAUGUAAGCUCCAUCCAUACUUGGUAGAAACGGAUCUUGGAAGGUGAAGUUUUAAGUAUGAAAACACGGGGUAGGGUUGAGGGAGCAGUCACAAAUAAACAGUAGAGAAGAAUGAACGCUCAGAUCAGCUUGCUGGGCCUGGAAUGAAGCACUGAGAGCCUCCUUCCCACCCUAGCACCUAUACCAUAAACACCAGGGAAAACCACGACAAGACACACAGAGUCAACUUGCCUCUUUCCGGAGCUUUCCUGGGCAGCUUGCAGCCUGGACUCCCCAUUGCUGCUCAUGGCUGCCCACAUCCAACGGGCCCAUUCCACUGGGGACCACAUCUGCCAGGAGUCAAAAGCCAUCUCCAUGGAAAAAUUCCCACCUAUACUGUUCUUGCUGGUAUCUCUUGAGAUCUAAACCUCUUUCAUGGCACCGCCAAAAAAGGAAGCUUCCCCAGCCCCCAGCAAGGAACACUGUGAGCAUCUCCUGUAUUCCAAGGUGCCAGGCUGCCUGCUCAAACUGAGAUGCAGAGAGAGAGAGAGAGAGAGAGAGAGAGAGAGAGAGAGAAAGAGAGAGAGAGAGAGAAAGACCCAAAGCUUGUCCUAUUGCUUCUGCAACCCUGGGCACUGGUAACCCAAGGCUUUUAGAUUAUAAAGGGCCCUGGUCUUUCUCAAUAGCACAAGUGACAAGGAGGGCCGGAUGCUCUUGCGUCCUAGCUGUGAAUUCCAAUGAGGUUUCUACUGCAGCAGCUGCCUGCCUGCACACCUGCUCAGAGGACCACUAUUCACCCAGGGACUGGAAGGGAAGCAGUCUGGGGGAGGCGGGCAUGAAGACACCGUGCUCAUUGUCCUAAUAAGACCUCGUUGUCUUUUUACUAUGAACUGUGUGCAUCGGAACACCACAGGCCACUAGCAUGACACUUUGGGAGCUGCUGGCCUUGUUUGCAUAUUUCCACACUUUCUCCCAGGAGCAGAGAGCAAGUUAAUUAGAGGCGACAGAUAGCAGUUUUUAAAAUUCUCUCUUUCCUCCCUGUUCAGUCACCCAGGGGCUUAAAAACAUUUCAAGAGUGAGAAUUUCUGUAGUCCACCCACCAAGAAUCUGUGCAUAAGAAUAAAGUGGCUGGGUGGGGUUCUAGCCCCAAGUCCCAGUGAUCGAGUCCCACUGUGGUGUGGCUGGUUUUCUACUUACACAAAUAAUUACACAGCUGAGACUCCACACACUUUCAGAAUAGAAAAAAAGGAGAUUAAUUUGACACAAAUAUGUACCAGAACAAGAAAUGGUGCCACAAUUUGCUAAAACCCCUCCAAAUUUCAGGAGGUAGGUUUCUCAGGAUGUAUAAAUAUUAUGUCUACCAUUUAAGUAAAUACGAGAGUAUAAUAUAUGUGUGUAUAUGUGUGUGUGUAUAUGUACAUAUAAAUAUAAGACAUUAAACACAAGAGUAUAAUGCACACAUAUAUCUCACACACACAUAACCCACACAUAACACACAUAAUCGCGAAUGCCCGAGUUCACAGGUAGGCUUCUAUAUGAAAAGCACACCAGCCAGCAUUUGUGGAACAUUUAGUCGUGUGUCAAGACAUGAGUCUAGGUCUAUCUAUCAUCUUCAGAACUAUGGGCUAGGGAUGUAGCUCAGUUGAUAAGUGCUCGCCUAGCAUGCAUAAGGCCCUGGGUUCAAUCCCCAGCACCGCAUAAACUAGGCACGUGAUGUAUGAAAACAACAAAAUGACUACAACAAUCUACAAGUAGCCUGAAAGGUGGAGAACAGGCAGGCCUCACUGAUGACACAGCUAUGGUUUAGAGAAGCAAAAAGCUGUUUGCAAGGCUAUGCAAGCUAGGAAAUGAGAAGAUCAAAGCUCAGAUCCCAAACUGCUAGCCUCUGAGGUGUCUGCUCACCAUAUCUAUGGUUUCUUGAAACCUUUAGCAAGAUCCAUUUUUAUGUCCUUAUCAUACAAAGUCUAUCAUGGAGAAUAAUUAAGCUGUCCAAGUGAACUUGUAAAUGUGACACUGAGGGACAGGGAGAUCCCAGCCACAGCAUUAUCCUUGUUGCUCUUUCCCUUGUUUGCACAAGGUUAGGGAAGUCCCAACCAUCCAAUGGAGUGAUUACUAACAGCCCUGUUCUUCUAACAGUCUGUCCUGUGAUCAUGGGAUUCUCUACAAGGCAAACGGGGCAGGGCAGGGCAGGGCAGGGCAGCCAUCAAACGGCACAUGCCAAUUCAUCCGCCAGUACAAAACAGUAUUUGGGGAAUAUUCAACACCACAGUGGGGUAUGUAGAUGGGAAGAAUGAUGGAAAUGACAGAUUGUCCUAGCCAUGGAAACUGGGGCCUGAAGGACUCCCCAGCUGUGUUAGUACAGUUUAAAACAUUCCUCCGAAGCUGGGCGUGGUGGUGCACACCUUUAUUCUCAGCACUUGGGAGGCAGAGGCAGGCGGAUUUCUGAGUUCGAGGCC